This 261-nucleotide ribosomal RNA is filed under the name uncultured bacterium. RNAcentral's name for it is "partial 16S ribosomal RNA". It matches the Rfam family "Bacterial small subunit ribosomal RNA", at positions 1244 to 1500 of the family's 1533-position model. The record is from RNAcentral.
GGGCAGCGAAGCCGCGAGGUGGAGCAAAUCCCAGAAAACCGAAUCUCAGUUCGGAUUGCAGGCUGCAACCCGCCUGCAUGAAGUCGGAAUCGCUAGUAAUCGCGGGUCAGCAUACCGCGGUGAAUACGUUCCCGGGCCUUGUACACACCCGCCCGUCACACCACGAAAGUUGGUAACACCCGAAGCCGGUGGCCUAACCCUUAGGGGAGGGAGCUGUCGAAGGUGGGACUGAUGAUUGGGGUGAAGUCGUAACAAGGUAAC